GUUGGGUUAAGUCCCGCGACGAGCGCAACCGUUGUUGCUAGUUGCCAUCAUGUAGUUGGGGACUCUAGCGAGACUGCCAGUGACGAACUGGAGGAAGGCGGGGAUGACGUCAAAUCAUCAUGCCCCUUAUGGCCUGGGCUACUAACGUGAUACGAUGGGUGCUACAAAGGGCAGCGAAGCCGUGAGGUGGAGCGAAACCCAUAAAAGCACUCUCAGUUCGGAUUGAAGUCUGCUACUCGACUUCAUGAAGUUGGAAUCGCUAGUAAUCGCAAAUCAGAAUGUUGCGGUGAAUACGUUCUCGGGGUUUGUACACACCGCCCGUCAAACCACGAAAGUCAGCAAUACCCAAAGCCGGUGGCCUAACCGUAAGGAGGGAGCCGUUUAAGGUAGGGUUGAUGAUUGGGGUUAAGUCGUUACAAGUAACCAAGGGCGAUUCCAGCACACUGCGGCCUACUAGU
This 458-nucleotide ribosomal RNA is filed under the name uncultured bacterium. RNAcentral's name for it is "bacterial SSU rRNA". It matches the Rfam family "Bacterial small subunit ribosomal RNA", at positions 1074 to 1533 of the family's 1533-position model. The record is from RNAcentral.